RNAcentral lists this ribosomal RNA (460 nucleotides) under uncultured bacterium. Its description in RNAcentral is "partial 16S ribosomal RNA". It matches the Rfam family "Bacterial small subunit ribosomal RNA", at positions 338 to 795 of the family's 1533-position model. The record is from RNAcentral.
CCUACGGGAGGCUGCAGUGAGGAAUAUUGGUCAAUGGGAGGAAUCCUGAACCAGCCAUGCCGCGUGCAGGACGACGGCUCUACGAGUUGUAAACUGCUUUUGUACCGGGGUAAAAUGCUCUACGAGUAGGGUUUUGAAAGUACGGUACGAAUAAGGAUCGGCUAACUCCGUGCCAGCAGCCGCGGUAAUACGGAGGAUCCGAGCGUUAUCCGGAUUCAUUGGGGUUAAAGGGUGCGUAGGUUGUUUUAUAAGUUAGCUGUGAAAUACAGAUGCUCAACAUCGGGGAUGCCGCUGAUACUGUAGGACUAGAGAGCGGAUGCAGCAGGCGGAAUGUGUAGGGUAGGGGUGAAAUGCAUAGAUAUUAACGAGAAAACCGAUUGCGAAGGCAGCUUGCUAGGCCGGAUCUGACACUGAUGCACGAAAGCGUGGGGAUCGAACAGGAUUAGAUACCCUUGUAGUC